AAAACUUUAAGUUAAAUAAACUAAUAGCCUUCAAAGCUAUAAAUAAAAGAAUAACUUUUAAGUUUUA
Molecule: transfer RNA, 67 nt
Filed under: Kiefferulus tainanus
Lineage: Eukaryota; Metazoa; Arthropoda; Insecta; Diptera; Chironomidae
Also listed under: 1 other name
Description: tRNA-Trp
Rfam family: tRNA
About the family: Transfer RNA (tRNA) molecules are approximately 80 nucleotides in length. Their secondary structure includes four short double-helical elements and three loops (D, anti-codon, and T loops).
Source: RNAcentral